RNAcentral lists this ribosomal RNA (644 nucleotides) under uncultured beta proteobacterium. RNAcentral describes it as "bacterial SSU rRNA". It matches the Rfam family "Bacterial small subunit ribosomal RNA", at positions 76 to 715 of the family's 1533-position model. Lineage: Bacteria; Pseudomonadati; Pseudomonadota; Betaproteobacteria. The record is from RNAcentral.
GUGCUUGCACCUGGUGGCGAGUGGCGAACGGGUGAGUAAUACAUCGGAACAUGUCCUGUAGUGGGGGAUAGCCCGGCGAAAGCCGGAUUAAUACCGCAUACGAUCUACGGAUGAAAGCGGGGGACCUUCGGGCCUCGCGCUAUAGGGUUGGCCGAUGGCUGAUUAGCUAGUUGGUGGGGUAAAGGCCUACCAAGGCGACGAUCAGUAGCUGGUCUGAGAGGACGACCAGCCACACUGGGACUGAGACACGGUCCAGACUCCUACGGGAGGCAGCAGUGGGGAAUUUUGGACAAUGGGCGAAAGCCUGAUCCAGCAAUGCCGCGUGUGUGAAGAAGGCCUUCGGGUUGUAAAGCACUUUUGUCCGGAAAGAAAUCCUUGGUUCUAAUAUAGCCGGGGGAUGACGGUACCGGAAGAAUAAGCACCGGCUAACUACGUGCCAGCAGCCGCGGUAAUACGUAGGGUGCGAGCGUUAAUCGGAAUUACUGGGCGUAAAGCGUGCGCAGGCGGUUUGCUAAGACCGAUGUGAAAUCCCCGGGCUCAACCUGGGAACUGCAUUGGUGACUGGCAGGCUAGAGUAUGGCAGAGGGGGGUAGAAUUCCACGUGUAGCAGUGAAAUGCGUAGAGAUGUGGAGGAAUACCGAUGG